CGAACGUUAGCGGCAGGCUUAACACAUGCAAGUCGUACGAGAAAGCGUCCUUCGGGGCGUUAUUAAAGUGGCGCACGGGUGAGUAACACGUGGAUAAUCUGCCCUUUGGCGCGGGACAACAGUUCGAAAGGACUGCUAAUACCGCAUAAGUCGGAGACCUCAUAGGCGGUUUCCGGGAAAGGAUGGCCUCUAUACUAUGCUAUCGCCAGAGGAUGAGUCCGCGUUCCAUCAGCUAGUUGGUGAGGUAAUGGCUCACCAAGGCUUAGACGGAUAGCUGGUCUGAGAGGAUGAUCAGCCACACUGGGACUGAGACACGGCCCAGACUCCUACGGGAGGCAGCAGUGGGGAAUAUUGGACAAUGGGCGAAAGCCUGAUCCAGCCAUGCCGCGUGUGUGAUGAAGGCCUUAGGGUCGUAAAGCACUGUGGAGAGGGACGAACAAGUCAUGGGAACAAUACCCUGUGGCCCUGACGGUACCUCCUUAGCAAGCACCGGCUAACUCC
This 501-nucleotide ribosomal RNA is filed under the name uncultured bacterium. RNAcentral's name for it is "bacterial SSU rRNA". It matches the Rfam family "Bacterial small subunit ribosomal RNA", at positions 30 to 504 of the family's 1533-position model. The record is from RNAcentral.